This is a non-coding RNA of Microcebus murinus (gray mouse lemur), 1015 nucleotides long. NCBI's taxonomy places the organism in Eukaryota, Metazoa, Chordata, Mammalia, Primates, Cheirogaleidae. The record is from RefSeq and is a predicted model, not a curated record.
UGGGAAGUGGCCCCCAACCUCGCUUCUCACUUGGUUGGCGACUCCAGCAACUGUACGGCCACGUUUCUGAGGAGUUCUGAGCCGCUCUCUGCCCAACGGUGGAUCUGGCGGCGUCAGAACCCAUGACAGCCAACGGAAAGGUUUCUCACUGUUCUUUCGAGUUCCUUAUUUCUUCCCGACCUUUUGAAGAACGCACCACUGUGGGCUGAACUGUGCCUGCCCUUUUCUCGUAUGGUUUCACUCGUUAAAGAAAGACAUGCAAUACGGGUGUGUUGUGUGCGCCCCCAUGAUUUUUCUAAAACGAAAAUGUGUUCUCUAAUAGCAAGCCAAACCAUCUUUUUAUCUUUUGUACCAGAUAUUUAUUUGUCAGGUACGUUUCAGCACCAACAGGCUGUGCACCCGUCUAUGCUUUGCUGGAAGCUCCUAUCUCCUCUCCUUAAGCUCUUGAUGUCUGGCGUCAGCUUCCCUCACAGCCUCCAAAAUUUCUCUCACAAAUGAAGAAAGAAACAAAGAGAAAAUAGAACUUGUCCAGGUCUUAUCAUACAGAGGUAUUCAAAUGAACAGGUUAACAUGUCACUAAAAUUACAAAAAUUAACUGACAAACUCACAAUUUCUAGCACAAAAAGUAACAUUCUGAGUAUUCAUCAGCACCUAUGUGUGAAAAAACUCCCAGAAGCUGGGGAAAGAACCACUGAAAAGAAUUUGAGGUAACAUUGCCCAUGCUCAAACAGCUUUUUCUCACUACUCAAACUAGAAAACUUACCAUUCCUGGGACACUGGGUGGAGUAUACAGAAGGAUCUUGCCCUAAUAGUGUGGAAGAAUUGCCCUAGAUUGAGUACUGUUCUGAUCCUACCUAGGAAAGCUUAAGAGCAAGAUCUGAAAUCAAACACUUUAUUGAUGUGUGCACAUGGGAGAGGCAUCAGUUCAAAAGUAUUUGAGGGACCUUGCUUAAAGUCAUUUUCUUAUUUUGAUUUUGCAUCUAGCCACCUUAAUAAACUUUGACUUUAGAUUUAA